Molecule: non-coding RNA, 73 nt
Filed under: Pseudomonas sp. SJZ077
Lineage: Bacteria; Pseudomonadati; Pseudomonadota; Gammaproteobacteria; Pseudomonadales; Pseudomonadaceae
Also listed under: 1 other name
Source: RNAcentral
GAGGCUUGCCCGCGAAGGCGGAGUGUCAGUGGACAUCAUUGGUAAUGACACUCCGCCUUCGCGGGCAAGCCUC